UCACUAUCAGCUGAUUUUAUGUAAACAAAGGCACAGCUGAGAGGUGCCACUGUAGAAACGUCAAGUGUAGUCCGAGGUUGAGUUUCUAUUUGAAUCCAAGAUGGCCGACUUUUAACAAAGAUGGCCGACUUUUCACCGGAAAAUGGUUGCAUUGUGUUAUUUUCUUAAAAUUUAUGGAAAAGUUGUCCCAAAAAUAUUGGUUAUAUAUAAAAGUUUAAUAUAUUUUCAAAAGAAAAUCGUUUUAUUUUAAUAUAUAUUCUUAAAGAUGAGAACAAUAUGAGCUAAUACAUGAAAAAUUAAGUUUUUUAUUUAUGCCUCUUUUUAACUGUGGUAAGUUAAUAAAUGUUCACCACAGAAAAAUGUUACGAACAAAUAAGCAACCAUGCCGAAUAGUGGGGUCCAGAUUAUACUCAUUCACAGCCAUAUUUACAUUUUUGCCAUCGUAACGAAGGUUUUCGCAAGGAAAUUUGUUUGAGUUUAUUUCAUGGUUAAAUGCUUUACGGUGGUUUAUUUAGUUAUUUGAAUCUGGAAGAAGUGUGCAAAUUUCCCUUGAGACGGUAAAUAACAGAUCGGGUUGGGAUUUUAUUCCAAUAAAAGUACGGAAUAACUAAACAUGGCCUCGUUAAUACUGCUGCGUAAUGGGUCAGGUGCUGUUCCAAUUUUAUGGUUUAAGAGAUGUAAAAGCGAUAUGCGAUGCUGUGAAGUACUCAAAUGUAUUUACGAACUUAGUUGGUCGUGAAUUCGAAACAAAAUUUUAAAUUCAAUGACGUGCUUGUGGAAGGUGCACGUCGCAUUGCUAGGUAAGCUAAAAUUAAACUUUAUUUCAAAAGAUUUACCAUGUAAUUUUUAUUUUUUUUUAUAGAAUCAGCAAAGAAGCUGAUGUAGAACGUUUGAUUAUUUGUCUGCUUUAAACGCUAGUCCCAAACCAAUGAGCUUUGUGUUUGAGGGUGGAAGUAACUUUUUGAAGAGCAAAUACUCCGGUGAGCACAUUCGGAUGUUAUACAAGCUAUUGUCAAUUGCGUUUAGGAUCCCGAUACUGCUGGUCAGGUUUAUCAAGCUGUUGGACCAAAGCGUUACCAGUUGAGCGAAUUAAUUGGCUGGUUUCAUCGUGUUAUGCACAAAAAUCCUAUCCUACCUUCUUAUUGAAAGCCAAGUUCACUGAGCUUAUCUGUCCUGGACAACCUAUUGGUGAGCUACAUAUGGAACGUAUCGAUCGCGAAUGUAUUACCGAUGCCGUUCCCUCGGAAAUACCGUGGUUGAAGAAUUUGGGUGUACAAUUGACCUCCAUGGAAGAGCAAGUACCAUGGGAAUUGUGACCAUAUCGUGCUGCGCAAUAUUAUGAUGCCGAAUUGGGAGAGUGGGGGAACCAGCUCCACCAAAACCGAUAGAACACCGGGAAGAACUACGCAAAUUAUAAACAACACUCAUCAAAUGAAAGUUGGCAGCGUUGGUGACUAAGCAGCGAUUUGUAAAAGAAACAUUUGCAUCUACGCGAAUUACAAUUCGUCUUUACAUCUAGUGAAUUAUGGUCGAUUAUGAAUGGUGUGGAAGUUGAUAUUUAAACUUAAAAAAAAAA
This is a long non-coding RNA of Bactrocera tryoni, 1576 nucleotides long. RefSeq lists it as uncharacterized. The record is from RefSeq and is a predicted model, not a curated record. The transcript has 2 exons. Lineage: Eukaryota; Metazoa; Arthropoda; Insecta; Diptera; Tephritidae.